This 546-nucleotide ribosomal RNA is filed under the name uncultured bacterium. RNAcentral describes it as "partial 16S ribosomal RNA". It matches the Rfam family "Bacterial small subunit ribosomal RNA", at positions 355 to 911 of the family's 1533-position model. The record is from RNAcentral.
UGGGGAAUAUUGCACAAUGGGCGAAAGCCUGAUGCAGCGACGCCGCGUGAGGGAUGACGGCCUUCGGGUUGUAAACCUCUUUCAGCAGGGAAGAAGCGAAAGUGACGGUACCUGCAGAAGAAGCGCCGGCUAACUACGUGCCAGCAGCCGCGGUAAUACGUAGGGCGCAAGCGUUGUCCGGAAUUAUUGGGCGUAAAGAGCUCGUAGGCGGUUAGUCGCGUCUGCUGUGAAAACUCGAGGCUCAACCUCGGGCUUGCAGUGGGUACGGGCUGACUAGAGUGCGGUAGGGGUGACUGGAAUUCCUGGUGUAGCGGUGGAAUGCGCAGAUAUCAGGAGGAACACCGAUGGCGAAGGCAGGUCACUGGGCCGCAACUGACGCUGAGGAGCGAAAGCAUGGGGAGCGAACAGGAUUAGAUACCCUGGUAGUCCAUGCCGUAAACGUUGGGCACUAGGUGUGGGGUCCAUUCCACGGGUUCCGUGCCGUAGCUAACGCAUUAAGUGCCCCGCCUGGGGAGUACGGCCGCAAGGCUAAAACUUAAAUGAAUU